AGAAAUCAAGUCAAGAACACAUCAGGAAUAUUGUAUCUCCUGAGAGGCAUACUGCAGAAGCUGCGCAUAAAGUAUGACUCCAUUGCUCCACCCUAACGAAUCUGGAAAGCUCGGCCAAUGAAUUGCCAUUCUUUGAGUUGGAAGUAUCUUUGAAUAGAUUUCUGAAUCACAGAUUAGAAAGGAUUUUUUUUUGUGUUAUUGAGUUAUGAGACGGGGUGGUAAGUGACUUGAUGUCAACCACAUAUAUAAUUUCAUUCUAUCAAUAGUACAUAGCAUGCGAUUCACAUAUCUCACAAAUAAGCAUGUUAGAUCAAUGUAAGUGUGAUUUCUAUGUACAUUGAUUCUUUGUAAGAUGGGUCUUAUUAACAAAUACUCUCGAAUCACUUAUUAAGUAUACUUAACAAGGGAAUAUUCAAUUCUCUAAGCAUUGAGUGUGCAAAUCACGAGAGGCAAUCAAUGCAUUGGGAAUUCCAAAGGUCCUUAUUUGGUUGUUUA
This is a long non-coding RNA of Eucalyptus grandis, 495 nucleotides long. RefSeq lists it as uncharacterized. Lineage: Eukaryota; Viridiplantae; Streptophyta; Magnoliopsida; Myrtales; Myrtaceae. The record is from RefSeq and is a predicted model, not a curated record. The transcript is spliced from 2 exons.